GAGCAAAGUACACAGAGCUGCUUGGUAAACGUGAGGUGAGGAGACUGAUAAUCAGGGGGCAUGUCUGUGUUACCCCAGACAACAGCCUGAUGAGAUGGCCAUGCUACUGUUGGACUAUGUUGGUGUCCAUGACCCAUCCUACCACCAGAGACGAUGCUGAGGUCCAUGGCACUUGUUGACACAAGGGUGGAUAUCAGUGCUGUCACCAGAAACCACGUAGAAGCCCAUGAAUCUCGCUCCUGUUGACUAUGAAGGACAAGGAAACGUCUUCUGUACUGGCACUGAUGACUGAGGACUCACAUUUGAGAGAAACAUAGGCUUCUGUGAUAACCUCCCCUCCCCAUACACCCACACACCCACACACACA
RNAcentral lists this long non-coding RNA (367 nucleotides) under Mus caroli (Ryukyu mouse). Its description in RNAcentral is "lncRNA (MGP_CAROLIEiJ_G0003164.1)". Lineage: Eukaryota; Metazoa; Chordata; Mammalia; Rodentia; Muridae. The record is from RNAcentral.